AGGCUCCACACAACCUUGGCACUGUUCGCUUCCAGACUGCCAGUCUUCGAGAAGUAACUUUCUGGGCUGAGUGGCUCUAGGCAGAUUUAUGCCCCUAAAAGCACCAGUGACUAGAAAAGUUCUGUCCCACUGGUUCUUGGGAAGCAUUGCUCUAACAUCCGCAUCCAACUCUCUGCUUGCUGCAUGACCCCUCAGCAGACCUGACAUGCAGGACGCCAUUCUGCAAUUCAGCGGGACCCCACUACCUUUGGUUGCCCUAACAACUUAAACACAACAACUAUGUGAACUUUCACAUGGCCACUCAUAAAACUCUUUUGAAAC
RNAcentral lists this long non-coding RNA (321 nucleotides) under Rattus norvegicus (Norway rat). RNAcentral's name for it is "long non-coding RNA NONRATT000599". The record is from RNAcentral. Lineage: Eukaryota; Metazoa; Chordata; Mammalia; Rodentia; Muridae.